CCCAUUCCAUAUUUCAAACCUUCUAGUAUUUCAAUCAUCACGUAUUACGCAACAGACACAACUACACAAGCAGUCAACAAAUUCAGAUAGCAAACAAACAGAAAACUCGAUCACAUGAUUUGGAGCCGAUUCGCGAAGAUUUCAAACUUCCCCCAUUCAACGAUGUCUUACGGAGUUCUGGUCUUCCGAAUACUUCAAUGGAAGCCUUUAAAAUUUAAAACUGACAGUCAAUUGCAAGCAAAACCCAUCAAUGGGACUUGGGAGAGAUGAAAUUCGAAGUACCUCUGUGGGUGAUCUGGAGCUAAUCGGGUUGGAGAGUUCAAAGAGCACCCGAUUUUGGAUGCCUCGAGCUAAUCAGGUUGAGAACGUGUGACUAAGGAACUGAUGAACUCAGUUAUGGUCAACUACUCGGGUAUUACUCUCGCUGACUGCCUUCACCUCUCCUCUCAUCCGUGUUCGAAAUUGAAGCCUUAAUCCUUGAUUGCUGGGUGCUGGGCAAUUUGAUUCACGGUUAGUAUCUAUUUCAGUUUCAAUUUCUUCGAAAAGGGGUAUUAUAGGUUGAUUUGGGUUUCAAUUUCAGUUUUGUAUCUAUUACAGUUUCAAUUCUUGUAAUUGGGUACUGAAUCGAUAGGGGUUUAGGUUGAUUUGGGACUGUGAUUUUGGUUCAUUCACAAUGAUCAUGGGAAAAGGGAUAUGGCUCACUCUGCUUUCUCUACGUUUUGGGUACUGAUCUCAACAUGAUGGUUAUGCAACAGUUAUAGAUUGGAAUUAUGUUUCUCUUUGUGCUGCAAGUUUAGAUUCAGAAUUAUAGAUUGGAAUUUACUCUCUGUUCUCACUCUCUGCAGCAAUAUUUAUAUGUAAUGUAUGCUUAUUUGAGUUAAAGACUGUUAUUUGGGUUUAGGACCAGAUUACUAAUUUGCUGCGAGAGUGAAUGAGAAAAGAUUAAGACAUAGUGUGUAAUAUGAUUUAUACACACAGAUAUGUGAUGUGAUGGUUAACUUGUGGAUCAUUGAAGAGACCAUGUAUAUGAGAUGAGUGAAAAGACUAGAAAUGUGGAUCGUAAGCUCGAAACAAUAUCGUUCUUUUGGUUCAUUCUUUUCCCAGGAAGCAUCUUUAAGAACUCCAAACUUUUGAGUUCUUAUCAAGUUCCACUAGUGAGGAAUUUUCCCAUCCAGAGAUCAUAGUUAGUGCCAUCAGUAAUAGAUAUCGUUCUGAGGAGUUUUCUAUUUUUUUGUAUGAUGGUGGUGGGGGUGGACUUUCACUAGAAUUCAAUUAAGUUUACAAUCUCAGAGAAGUUUUGUAAGGAUUUAGUGUCACAUUCUUAUGAAGUUUAUGAACAUUAUGCGAGAAUGUGGAUACCAUUUUUGGCACUAUAGAUACAUGCCUCUGGUUAUGCUUGUUCCUUCAUUAUGUAGUUCUCUUGAUAAUAUUGCAUUCACUGCAGAGGCAAGUAAUAAGAACCAAAAGUAUUGAAUACAUGCCAUUUACUUUGUCUUUAUUCCUAACACUUUGUGCUAUCAUGUGGUUCUUCUACAGACUUUUCACAAAGGAUUACUACAUUGAAGUAAGUGGUAUAAUUACCAUCUCUUUUUCUGUUUCUUUAUCUGAUGCUACUUAAGAUGUCAUUAAUGUUUAUUAAAGAAAACCUAGCUAGCUACUAAUCAACCUGAGAUGGUUACCAUAUUGUAGUGAAGGAUUGAAUAAUUGAAUCUUUGUGAAUGUGAAUGAGUGAUUUUUGUAUGAAGUAGCUUUGAUCAUUAACAUAGUAAUGUCCUUGAGAUAAAGGCAAAUAGCAAGUAGUGUCCUUUGAUCAUUAUUGCUUGUUCUGUACUGGUGAUAGGGAUAUCUUGUUCUGUGGACAAUGAGUUGUUAGGAAAUAAUACAUUUCUGGUUAAAGGUAUUGAACAGCCUGGCUAGUUACAUGCAGACCUUGUUUUUGUGAUUGAUGAGAAGCUCCAUGACGUUUACAAGAGGAGGUAGCAGUUUACAAGACCUUGUUUAUAUUCUAGGCUAUAGUGGUGUAAGCUGUAUUUUUAUCUGUCAAGCUGCACUAUUAGAAAUGCUGGCAGUUUGAAUUAAGUGUUGUUUCAAUAUGUUUGAUAUAUUGUACUGACUCUACUGAGUGAUCCCACACCAUUCUUUGUUGUAUAUUACAUCCAUAAAUUCAAAAUGUAACUUCUUGUUCUUGGUA
Long non-coding RNA from Rosa chinensis, 2191 nucleotides. RefSeq lists it as uncharacterized. Lineage: Eukaryota; Viridiplantae; Streptophyta; Magnoliopsida; Rosales; Rosaceae. The record is from RefSeq and is a predicted model, not a curated record. The transcript is spliced from 2 exons.